GAUGAACGCUGGCGGCGUGCCUAAUACAUGCAAGUCGAGCGAACAGACGAGGAGCUUGCUCCUUUGACGUUAGCGGCGGACGGGUGAGUAACACGUAGGUAACCUACCUAUAAGACUGGGAUAACUUCGGGAAACCGGAGCUAAUACCGGAGAAUAUUCCUAACCGCAUGGUUCGAUAGUGAAAGAUGGCCUUGCCAUCACUUAUAGAUGGACCUUCGCCGUAUUAGAUAGUUGGUAAGGUAACGGCUUACCAAGGCAACGAUACGUAGCGGACCUGAGAGGGUGAUCGGCCACAAUGGAACCGAGACACGGUCCAGGCUCCUACUGGAGGCAGCAGUAGGGAAUCUUCCGCAAUGGGCGAAAGCCUGACGGAGCAACGCCGCGUGAGCGAUGAAGGUCUUCGGAUCGUAAAACUCUGUUAUUAGGGAGGAACAAACGUGUAAGUAACUGUGCACGUCUUGACGGUACCUAAUCAGAAAGCCACGGCUAACUACGUGCCAGCCGCCGCAGUAA
This 513-nucleotide ribosomal RNA is filed under the name uncultured bacterium. RNAcentral's name for it is "partial 16S ribosomal RNA". It matches the Rfam family "Bacterial small subunit ribosomal RNA", at positions 28 to 523 of the family's 1533-position model. The record is from RNAcentral.